This 1755-nucleotide ribosomal RNA is filed under the name human gut metagenome. RNAcentral describes it as "bacterial LSU rRNA". It matches the Rfam family "Bacterial large subunit ribosomal RNA", at positions 1091 to 2826 of the family's 2925-position model. The record is from RNAcentral.
AGCCAGGAUGUUGGCUUAGAAGCAGCCAUCAUUUAAAGAAAGCGUAAUAGCUCACUGGUCGAGUCGGCCUGCGCGGAAGAUGUAACGGGGCUAAACCAUGCACCGAAGCUGCGGCAGCGACGCUUAGGCGUUGUUGGGUAGGGGAGCGUUCUGUAAGCCGUUGAAGGUGGCCUGUGAGGGUUGCUGGAGGUAUCAGAAGUGCGAAUGCUGACAUAAGUAACGAUAAUGCGGGUGAAAAACCCGCACGCCGGAAGACCAAGGGUUCCUGUCCAACGUUAAUCGGGGCAGGGUGAGUCGACCCCUAAGGCGAGGCCGAAAGGCGUAGUCGAUGGGAAACAGGUUAAUAUUCCUGUACUUGGUGUUACUGCGAAGGGGGGACGGAGAAGGCUAUGUUGGCCGGGCGACGGUUGUCCCGGUUUAAGCGUGUAGGUGUGUGUUCCAGGUAAAUCCGGUUCACUUUAACACUGAGGCGUGAUGACGAGGCACUACGGUGCUGAAGUGACAAAUGCCCUGCUUCCAGGAAAAGCCUCUAAGCAUCAGGUAACAUCAAAUCGUACCCCAAACCGACACAGGUGGUCAGGUAGAGAAUACCAAGGCGCUUGAGAGAACUCGGGUGAAGGAACUAGGCAAAAUGGUGCCGUAACUUCGGGAGAAGGCACGCUGAUAUGUAGGUGAAGUGGUUUACCCAUGGAGCUGAAAUCAGUCGAAGAUACCAGCUGGCUGCAACUGUUUAUUAAAAACACAGCACUGUGCAAACACGAAAGUGGACGUAUACGGUGUGACGCCUGCCCGGUGCCGGAAGGUUAAUUGAUGGGGUUAUCCGUAAGGAGAAGCUCUUGAUCGAAGCCCCGGUAAACGGCGGCCGUAACUAUAACGGUCCUAAGGUAGCGAAAUUCCUUGUCGGGUAAGUUCCGACCUGCACGAAUGGCGUAAUGAUGGCCAGGCUGUCUCCACCCGAGACUCAGUGAAAUUGAACUCGCUGUGAAGAUGCAGUGUACCCGCGGCAAGACGGAAAGACCCCGUGAACCUUUACUAUAGCUUGACACUGAACACUGGUCCUUGAUGUGUAGGAUAGGUGGGAGGCUUUGAAGUGUGGACGCCAGUCUGCAUGGAGCCAUCCUUGAAAUACCACCCUUUAAUGGCUGGUGUUCUAACGUGGGCCCGUAAUCCGGGUUGCGGACAGUGUCUGGUGGGUAGUUUGACUGGGGCGGUCUCCUCCUAAAGAGUAACGGAGGAGCACGAAGGUCAGCUAAUCCUGGUCGGACAUCAGGAGGUUAGUGCAAUGGCAUAAGCUGGCUUGACUGCGAGCGUGACGGCGCGAGCAGGUGCGAAAGCAGGUCAUAGUGAUCCGGUGGUUCUGAAUGGAAGGGCCAUCGCUCAACGGAUAAAAGGUACUCCGGGGAUAACAGGCUGAUACCGCCCAAGAGUUCAUAUCGACGGCGGUGUUUGGCACCUCGAUGUCGGCUCAUCACAUCCUGGGGCUGAAGUAGGUCCCAAGGGUAUGGCUGUUCGCCAUUUAAAGUGGUACGCGAGCUGGGUUUAGAACGUCGUGAGACAGUUCGGUCCCUAUCUGCCGUGGGCGCUGGAGAAUUGAGGGGGGCUGCUCCUAGUACGAGAGGACCGGAGUGGACGCAUCACUGGUGUUCGGGUUGUCAUGCCAAUGGCAUUGCCCGGUAGCUAAAUGCGGAAGAGAUAAGUGCUGAAAGCAUCUAAGUACGAAACUUGCCCCGAGAUGAGUUCUCCCUGACUCCUUGA